GUCGUGGCUGCAGGUGGAGAAGCUGCAGCAGAAGACUCAGCUGGCUCUGCAACACGUGCUGCAGAAGAACCAGAGAGAAGACCGAGCGCUGAAUAAGGAACCAGAUGUUCUCGUCUCGUGGCUACGGAUCUCGAUUGAGGACACCCCCCCACCUAAAGACUCCUUUGGGUCUCCUGUUUGUCUCCUGGUCAUCAAAUAAAUAGUACAGAAACAGAAUCGAGGAAUCUGUUUCUGUAUCUUCAGACCCUGUUGGACGAACAGCAGCAGUUUGAAUGAAUUCACUGAGAUACAGACGGCCCUCCAACAUGAGCUUUCCUGUACGACAGCAGCAUCACGUCGGUGCUUAUGGAUUUCCUGAUGUUGGGAGAGUUGGUGUAGAGCGAGAAGAGAAGGGGACCCAGGACGGAACCCUGAAGAACUCCAGCAGUAAGAGGACAAGGUUCCGACACAGAUCCUCUCCAGGUUACCUGGUAGGUGCGGCUGUCGAGGUAGGACGAGAGAAGGGAGAGAGCAGAGCCUGAGACACCAAGUUCCUGAAGGGAGGAGACAAG
Gasterosteus aculeatus aculeatus (three-spined stickleback) is the source of this 551-nucleotide long non-coding RNA. Lineage: Eukaryota; Metazoa; Chordata; Actinopteri; Perciformes; Gasterosteidae. The record is from Ensembl.